RNAcentral lists this ribosomal RNA (427 nucleotides) under uncultured bacterium. RNAcentral's name for it is "partial 16S ribosomal RNA". It matches the Rfam family "Bacterial small subunit ribosomal RNA", at positions 338 to 795 of the family's 1533-position model. The record is from RNAcentral.
CCUACGGGGGGCAGCAGUAGGGAAUAUUGCGCAAUGGGGGAAACCCUGACGCAGCGACGCCGCGUGAGUGAUGAAGGCCUUCGGGUCGUAAAGCUCUGUCGUAUGGUACAAGGUACCAUGCAAGAAAGGAUCGGCUAACUUCGUGCCAGCAGCCGCGGUAAGACGAGGGAUCCUAGCGUUGUUCGGAAUUAUUGGGCGUAAAGCGGGUGUAGGCGGACUUAUAAGUCAGGUGUGAAAUCCCAGGGCUCAACCCUGGAAGUGCACUUGAUACUGUAAGUCUUGAAUGUGGUAGAGGUGGAAUUCCUGGUGUAGUGGUGAAAUACGUAGAUAUCAGGAGGAACACCGGAGGCGAAGGCGGGUAACUGGGCCAAAUGACGCUGAGACCCGAAAGCGUGGGGAUCAAACAGGAUUAGAUACCCUUGUAGUC